CCGGAUUAGAUACCCGGGUAGUCCUAGCUGUAAACGAUGCCCGCUAGGUGUGGCGCAGGCUACGAGCCUGCGCUGUGCCGUAGGGAAGCCGAGAAGCGGGCCGCCUGGGAAAGUACGUCUGCAAGGAUGAAACUUAAAGGAAUUGGCGGGGGAGCACUACAACCGGAGGAGCCUGCGGUUUAAUUGGACUCAACGCCGGACAUCUCACCAGCUCCGACAGUAGUAAUGACGGUCAGGUUGAUGACCUUACCCGAUGCUACUGAGAGGAGGUGCAUGGCCGCCGUCAGCUCGUACCGUGAGGCGUCCUGUUAAGUCAGGCAACGAGCGAGACCCGCACUCCUAAUUGCCAGCAGUACCCUUUGGGUAGCUGGGUACAUUAGGUGGACUGCCGCUGCCAAAGCGGAGGAAGGAACGGGCAACGGUAGGUCAGUAUGCCCCGAAUGAGCUGGGCAACACGCGGGCUACAAUGGUCGAGACAAUGGGAUGCAACUCCGAGAGGAGGCGCUAAUCUCCUAAACUCGAUCGUAGUUCGGAUUGAGGGCUGAAACUCGCCCUCAUGAAGCUGGAUUCGGUAGUAAUCGCGUGUCAGAAGCGCGCGGUGAAUACGUCCCUGCUCCUUGCACACACCCGCCCCGUCAAAGCACCCGAGUGGGGUUCGGA
This 660-nucleotide ribosomal RNA is filed under the name Halobacterium sp. LpM5. RNAcentral describes it as "bacterial SSU rRNA". It matches the Rfam family "Archaeal small subunit ribosomal RNA", at positions 724 to 1377 of the family's 1478-position model. The record is from RNAcentral. Lineage: Archaea; Methanobacteriati; Methanobacteriota; Halobacteria; Halobacteriales; Halobacteriaceae.